AUUGAACGCUGGCGGCAGGCCUAACACCUGCAAGUCGAGCGAGAGGCGGACGGGUGAGUAAUGUAUGGGGGCUGCCAGAUAGAGGGGGAUCACUACUGGAAACGGUAGAUAAUACCGCAUACUAUCGGUGAACCCAUAGGGGAUUAGCUAGUAGGUGAGGUAAUGGCUCAACUAGGCGACGAUCCCUAGCUGGUCUGAGAGUAUGAGACGCCACACUGGGACUGCGACACGGCCCAGACUCCUACGGAGGCAGCAGUGGGGAAUAUUGCACAAUUGGCGCAAGCCUGAUGCAGCCAUGCCGCGUGUAUGAUGAAGGCCUUCGGGUUGUAAAGUACUUUUGGCAGAGAAGCGGUAUCUGCAGAAUAAGCACCGGCUAACUACGUGCCAGCAGCCGCGGUAAUAC
Molecule: ribosomal RNA, 403 nt
Filed under: uncultured bacterium
Lineage: Bacteria
Description: partial 16S ribosomal RNA
Rfam family: Bacterial small subunit ribosomal RNA
Source: RNAcentral